CCUACGUGAGGUAGCAGUGGGGAAUAUUGCGCAAUGGGCGAAAGCCUGACGCAGCGACGCCGCGUGAGGGAUGAAGGUCUUCGGAUCGUAAACCUCUGUCAGCAGGGAAGAACGGUCACUGUGCUAAUCAGCAGUGAAUUGACGGUACCUGCAAAGGAAGCACCGGCUAACUCCGUGCCAGCAGCCGCGGUAAUACGGAGGGUGCGAGCGGUAAUCGGAAUUACUGGGCGUAAAGCGCUCGUAGGCGGUAUGUCAAGUCAAGUGUGAAAUCCCCGCGCUCAACGUGGGAACUGCCUUUGAAACUGGCAAACUGGAGUGUGUGAGAGGAUAGUGGAAUUCCAGGUGUAGGAGUGAAAUCCGUAGAUAUCUGGAGGAACAUCAGUGGCGAAGGCGACUAUCUGGCACAUAACUGACGCUGAGGAGCGAAAGCGUGGGUAGCAAACAGGAUUAGAUACCCUUGUAGUC
Molecule: ribosomal RNA, 465 nt
Filed under: uncultured bacterium
Lineage: Bacteria
Description: partial 16S ribosomal RNA
Rfam family: Bacterial small subunit ribosomal RNA
Source: RNAcentral